GGCAGAGAUCAACCUCUGAGAGGCUUGGAAUCCAGUGAGAAAGCUGGAGAAACGAGGCCUCCAAAUUAUGGGUCCAAUCUCACCAAGGAUUUAAACUAAUUUCCACCGAGGAAGGAGAGCAUGGUAAGCUCUCCCACCACCACUGGUAGAACUUGGAACUAUCAGUUCUAUUCUUUCUCCACUGUCUGGUGUAUAUGCUUCUCAUCCACCGAAGUCCUAUCCUGAGUCCUGG
This is a long non-coding RNA of Lemur catta (Ring-tailed lemur), 232 nucleotides long. RefSeq lists it as uncharacterized. Lineage: Eukaryota; Metazoa; Chordata; Mammalia; Primates; Lemuridae. The record is from RefSeq and is a predicted model, not a curated record. The transcript has 3 exons.